Molecule: long non-coding RNA, 1995 nt
Organism: Panthera uncia (snow leopard)
Lineage: Eukaryota; Metazoa; Chordata; Mammalia; Carnivora; Felidae
Exons: 4
Source: RefSeq, a predicted model, not a curated record
CUUCCUAUGUGAAUUAACAGGCUGAUGCUUAGUACCUGUGCCUUUUUGGGGAGAAUCAUGACAUUGGACUUGAACUAUGGAGGGUAAACUGACCUAUAUGUCUACUUUCCAAGCUCUCAGUUUCUCACUUUCAAAUACUGGAUUUCAAGACAUAUCAACCAGGCUUCAACGUACGGUGAGAUUUGAGCAAUCCAGGAAUAUGUUGAGGACAUAAAUUAUGCCAUUCAUCUGACUCGCUCAAAACUUUCAUGGCUGCCAUCCCGCAUGGAACCAAAUCUAGAAUCAUUACCAUGGCCGGAGUCACUCUCAUGAAAUUGCCUCCCACCACCCACUGAGGCCCAGAAGUCGGCUAGGGCAACCCCUGGACUCUGUAGGCAGGGAUAUGAACUCUAGAUUCAGUUGCCAACUGAAAAUCCUGGCUCCCUACUUACCUGCCUCCAAACUCCUCCAUUGCCUCAGUCUCCUCACCUCUAAAACGAUAGAUGUUUCAACUUAUCGUGUUUCCAAGAACUAAAUGGGACAACAGUCACAAAGAACAUAGGAGAAUACUUACCAGAGAGUUAUAAACUCACCGAAAAUAAAUGCGAAGUUCUUCAACUUCUCUAACAUUUGUCACCGAUGAGUUGGGGAUCAAUUAUUCUUAUGAGCUUUUCAAAUUGGACUGUUGGAAAAGUUCGGUGAAGUGGAACUGAUUACUGCCAACAUUACAUUUAAUGAGACUAUAUAGUUGCAUAUUCGAAACCUGUAAAUGACUUCUUCCUGAGAAUUCUGACUUGCGUAGCCUUGUCCGAAGUUCCUCCUUCUUGAGUGAGCUAUUCUGAAGCUUUAUAUACCUCUGAUCUGUAACAAGUAAUUCUGUCUAAAGAAAGAAUACAUUGCUCAGAGAAGAGAGAGCCACUUUAACAGCAAGAAAGUCCAAAUGCAAGUUGAGUAUUUUUAGUUGAUGAUGGAGAUACCAUCCAGGCUCAAACACUGCAGCAACCAUUUGGGCCCAUACGAAAGAUGUGUAAAUGGAGGAAAUUUGUCAGAAGAGACUAUUGCCAACAAUCAGUAUUUAUGAAGCAUCUACAAUUGGCCUUAUUUAGACACUCAACUGGAAUAACAAAAAAUAUUGACUGAUCUCUGUCUUCAUGGAGAUUUCAGUAGGGAGAGGGAGACAAACAUUAAUUGAGCGUGGCAAUCAUUUAUUAUUUUUUAAAUGGAGUGAGGUAAUAUUUAUCAAGUGCUCACUAUGUACGAAGCCUUGACUUGGUAUUUCGGAUACAAAGGCAAAUUAAGAUGCAGUCCCUUUUGUCAAGGACUUAGCCAUUUAACAGAGGAGAUAAACAACAGGGAGACAACUGCCAUUCUGUGAGUAUGGGUCUAAUUGUUUCUCAAAUGCUUAUUAUGUACCGGAGACCCUGCUAAGUCUUUACAGAAGGGUUCUCAUCAAUUGUGUGCUCUUGCUACUUUGCUGUAUGUACCUAUAACUAGACUCGGAGCCCCCAGAGUGAACAGCUACUGAGGACAUAGCUCACCAGACUCAAAGGCUAACAAAGGAGACACAGAAGUGUUCUAGCUUUUAAUAAUGUGAAUGUCGGCCUUAUGUCCACACCAUAUCAAGAUUCUGCAUUUCUCUAAAAAGCCCAUUCGUAAAGUUGAGUCAAUGAACUACCCUUUCUUACUCAUUCUCAUUCUCCUCUUUUACCCCACCCCCACACUUCAAAGAGGAGAUACCUUGAGGAAGAGUCUCUCCUGGCCCAAAAAGGCGGACAUAAAACCCAGGUAUUAUCAUAAACCACUUUUGGACCAAGUCAUGUCAAAUGAUUAUAAUUAGGUUAAUUUUGGGAAUCACCCUGUACCUAAAUCUUCUCAGAAAAAUAAAGUUAAGGGGCAACUGGGUGGCUCAGUUGGUUAUCUCCCAACACUUGAUUUAGGCCCAGGUCAUGAUCUCAUGGUUCAUGGGAUCGAGCCCCCCAUCGGGCUCUAUGCUGACAGCACGGAGCCUGCUGGGGA